AAUGAACGCUGGCGGCGCGCCUAAUACAUGCAAGUCGAGCGAGAAGACGUAGCAAUACGUUUGUAAAGCGGCGAACGGGUGAGGAAUACAUGGGUAACCUACCCUCGAGUGGGGAAUAACUAGCCGAAAGGUUAGCUAAUACCGCGUACGCUUCUUGGACUUCGGUUCAGGGAGGAAAGCGAUACCGUGGGUAUCGCGCUCUUGGAUGGGCUCAUGUCCUAUCAGCUUGUUGGNGAGGUAACGGCUCACCAAGGCUUUGACGGGUAGCUGGUCUGAGAGGACGAUCAGCCACACUGGCACUGCGACACGGGCCAGACUCCUACGGGAGGCAGCAGUAAGGAAUAUUGCGCAAUGGGCGAAAGCCUGACGCAGCGACGCCGCGUGGGGGAUGAAGGUCUUCGGAUUGU
RNAcentral lists this ribosomal RNA (407 nucleotides) under uncultured bacterium. RNAcentral's name for it is "bacterial SSU rRNA". It matches the Rfam family "Bacterial small subunit ribosomal RNA", at positions 29 to 426 of the family's 1533-position model. The record is from RNAcentral.